This 301-nucleotide ribosomal RNA is filed under the name uncultured bacterium. Its description in RNAcentral is "partial 16S ribosomal RNA". It matches the Rfam family "Bacterial small subunit ribosomal RNA", at positions 509 to 807 of the family's 1533-position model. The record is from RNAcentral.
CAGUCGCCACGGUAAUACGUAGGGUGCAAGCGUUAAUCGGAAUUACUUGGCGUAAAGCGUGCGCAGGCGGUUAUAUAAGACAGAUGUGAAAUCCCCGGGCUCAACCUGGGAACUGCAUUUGUGACUGUAUAGCUAGAGUACGGCAGAGGGGGAUGGAAUUCCGCGUGUAGCAGUGAAAUGCGUAGAUAUGCGGAGGAACACCGAUGGCGAAGGCAAUCCCCUGGGCCUGUACUGACGCUCAUGCACGAAAGCGUGGGGAGCAAACAGGAUUAGAUACCCCGGUAGUCCCUGUCUCUUAUAC